RNAcentral lists this ribosomal RNA (506 nucleotides) under uncultured bacterium. Its description in RNAcentral is "partial 16S ribosomal RNA". It matches the Rfam family "Bacterial small subunit ribosomal RNA", at positions 29 to 523 of the family's 1533-position model. The record is from RNAcentral.
AUUGAACGCUGGCGGCAGGCCUAACACAUGCAAGUCGGACGGUAGCACAGAGGAGCUUGCUCUUCGGGUGACGAGUGGCGGACGGGUGAGUAAUGUCUGGGGAUCUGCCCGAUAGAGGGGGAUAACCACUGGAAACGGUGGCUAAUACCGCAUAACGUCGCAAGACCAAAGAGGGGGACCUUCGGGCCUCUCACUAUCGGAUGAACCCAGAUGGGAUUAGCUAGUAGGCGGGGUAACGGCCCACCUAGGCGACGAUCCCUUGCUGGUAUGAGAGGAUGAACAGCCACACUGGAACUGAGACACGGUCCGGGCUCCUACGGGAGGCAGCAGUGGGGAAUAUUGCACAAUGGGCGCAAGCCUGAUGCAGCCAUGCCGCGUGUAUGAAGAAGGCCUUCGGGUUGUAAAGUACUUUCAGCGGGGAGGAAGGCGAUGUGGUUAAUAACCGCGUCGAUUGACGUUACCCGCAGAAGAAGCACCGGCUAACUCCGUGCCAGCCGCCGCCGUAA